UUUAACCUAAUAACAGAUUUUUUCAUAACAAAACAUGGCCAUUCCCAUAUGCUCAUUUGCUAAGCAUACACCAUCAAUCCCAACUAUUUCAAUCUCCUUUUAUCCUUGUACAAAUUCACAUCUCAAAGCAAUCAAUUAUGGCUGCCUUCCAACCUAAAGCCAUUCUUCUUCGAUUUACAGCCUUAAUUUGGUCACAGACGAAGCGUUAACUAUGACUACUAAGGGUGUGGAUGCUUCUAGAGUGGAACUGGAGUUUGCGCAGGAAAUGGAAAAGGUUUUUGAUAAAAAAAGGAGCGAAAAUGAGGUUGAGAGACAUUGGUGCAAAGGAGUUGUAGAGAGAAGGAAGAGAAGAAGAAAAAGAAGAAGGGACUUAGAAUGUUUGGAGCAUGAGAAAAAUGAAAAACAUGUAUUUUUCAAGGCUGCCAAGAAGCAGUCAUACUUGACACCUAAAGAAGAGGCAAAGUUUUCUUGGUACCUUAAGGAAAAAAGGUUGAACCUGUGAGAAAGAAAAUAGCAGACAUGGGAGAAGAAGAAUUAACCUCAAGUCAAUGGGCUAAGGCUUCAGGAAUCACUCAGCAAAGGCUUGUAUAUAUUUUAUGUUAAGAGAGAGAAUCACAGGAUCGAAUUUGCAGCUGUUAUCAGAGACUUGUUAUUGCAGUCGCUAGAUCUCAUCAAGGAAUAGGGUUGAGCUUCAAAGAUUUAAUUCAGAAAGGAAGAAUUGGGCUAAUUCGAGGGGCGAUAAGAUUUAACACGAAGAGAGGUUGUAAGUUAUCCACAUACGGUUACUAGUGGAUUAGGCAAGCUAUUAGCAGAGCCAUAGCCAGCAAAUCAACGAUAUUCCAAUUGACGGACAUCAUACCGGGGCGAAAUGAAACGAAACUAGAGGCAAUGGAGAAGAAAGAGAUGUUGAAAAGAGAAAUACAAAAGCUUCUUAACUAGUUGCCUGAGAGAGGAAAAUGUCUUAAGACUGCACUAUGGCCUUAAUGGCUGCACUCCAUGUUCCUUUGAAGAGAUAGGAAAUUUAUUUAAACUUUCAAGGGAGAGGAUUCGGCAGAUUAAUAGCACUGCAUUGUCUAAAUUACAAAGGACUAGUGGGAUAAAUGAUCUCAAAUAUUUGAUAUAGCUUUUACUAUAUAUAAAGAAUACAUGCUUACAGUACAUAAAUCAUGGAUUUGUAUAUCCAUUUUCUACAAA
This is a long non-coding RNA of Olea europaea var. sylvestris, 1194 nucleotides long. RefSeq lists it as uncharacterized. NCBI's taxonomy places the organism in Eukaryota, Viridiplantae, Streptophyta, Magnoliopsida, Lamiales, Oleaceae. The transcript has 4 exons. The record is from RefSeq and is a predicted model, not a curated record.